CGUAGGGUGCGAGCGUUAAUCGGAAUUACUGGGCGUAAAGCGUGCGCAGGCGGUCUUGUAAGACAGAUGUGAAACUCCCCGGGCUCAACCUGGGACCUGCAUUUGUGACUGCAAGGCUAGAGUACGGUAGAGGGGGAUGGAAUUCCGCGUGUAGCAGUGAAAUGCGUAGAUAUGCGGAGGAACACCGAUGGCGAAGGCAAUCCCCUGGACCUGUACUGACGCUCAUGCACGAAAGCGUGGGGAGCAAACAGGAUUAGAUACCCUGGUAGUCCACGCCCUAAACGAUGUCAACUGGUUGUUGGGUCUUUACUGACUCAGUAACGAAGCUAACGCGUGAAGUUGACCGCCUGGGGAGUACGGCCGCAAGGUUG
This 371-nucleotide ribosomal RNA is filed under the name uncultured organism. RNAcentral's name for it is "bacterial SSU rRNA". It matches the Rfam family "Bacterial small subunit ribosomal RNA", at positions 526 to 896 of the family's 1533-position model. The record is from RNAcentral.